ACACAAGUGUGUGGUAGCCCCUUUAAGACUGGGUCCCUUCAGAACUUUUAACUCUUAAAUUAGUGAUGCUGAGCCUCCUGUGAUUUGCCAAUUACAGGUUAAAAGGUUCUGCUGAUAUUAGCUGCAGCUACGGCUUCUGCUUCUGAGCAACUUCUACUCCUGGCCUUAUCACGUUGCAGUCGCUGCUGCAGUGUCUAGUUCUACACAGGCUUUAAACAGCAGCUUUGUUUCUGAGCAACCUGAUUGUCUGGUAGCCACAAUUUGCUUCUCUUCUUAUCAUCUCAGCUCCUACCCUGCUCCACUCCUGCUCUUCGGGAUAACAUUUGCAAAUAGACUCCUUACGUGGUCCUUUUGUGCUGAAUAUCAGUUGGCCACAGACAGGCAUACUUUACCAAGAAUUCCACAUUUGAUACAGAAAAACUUGCCUGAAAAUGUUGGCCCCCAUGCAGAAGGAAGUACUAUUAUGUCCCAGAUGGCGCGAAGACCAAUUUCGUUAUGCUACCCAAGCAGUCAUCCACCUGUGUUACCACUGGUCUCUGUUUGUGCCCAUCAGAGUCUUUUCCUUCUCCCUUAGUAGACUAGUACCUUUUGACAACAGCAGCACUCUCCUAACAAGUCUUUUCACAAUCUUUUUCCUGCAACUCCCUUUCCCCCAUACUCUAUACUAUUAAAUUGGGCAAACCUGUUCCACAAUUUUCUACCUUCAGGUCUAUCAUUUUACUUCAGAAUGUCAUAUCUAUGGAAUCUAGGUGGCUCAAAUUGCACCUUCACAUUGAACAUUCUGUUACCUGUAAAAUUACUGAGAGGAUGGAAGGCUAGAACGUAAUGGAAAACAAUUCAACAUAAAUUGAUAUGGCAGUCAGCCAGAAUGGUUUUAAUCAGAAAUCAUUCAGAAUAUUUCCAGAGCAUGAGCUGAGUUUUGUUGCAAACAUGUUUUAAGUGGACUUUAUGAAACUAUUCUUAAUUACAUGUUUUAAACCUUAGGAAAUAUUCCAUUCAACAUCACAUGAUUUAUUGGACUUGUAUUGAUGAUUUGGAAUUCAAUUAGGUGAUUUCAAUUUGCAAAUCAUGAGUAACACAGGACACAGUAGAUUCUCUAUUGACCAGACAUGGGCCAGCACUCCAUUGUUUACCUGAGUCCCAUAUGCUUUCCUUCUUUUCUUCUAACUUAAACAUAAAUGAAUUAAUUUUCAGGAGAACAAUUUAUUAUUUUAUAUUUUGAACGUCAGAAAAUAGCUUGGCUAAAAUAGAUGUCAGAGACUUUUUGAAAACCACCUUUCCAUUAGCUAAAACACUUUGAAAUAAUGUAAUUUAUAAUUUUCUCCAUAUUUAAAUAAUUUACUUUCAGAAUAAAUGAAGCCAGCUAUUAUGACACUCAUCUUGAUUGUGCCAAGUUCAAAAGCUUCUUAUUGUGGCAAAGCUCUCCUGCUCAGAUCCCCUGCUCCUCCAGGGAAAGCUUCAUGCCUAAGAUUACUCCCAGCUGUGAAGCACUGGGGAUACAAUGUGGCUUUUUUCCUCUCCAGAAAGAUAUUUUUCCCUCUUCCACCUGAGUCAGCACUGUCUGUUAUUGUGGGUUUUUUUUUAAAUCUACUUUCCAAUUCUCUCUCAGAGGUAAUUGUUCCAAGAGUAGUUGUAAAUCUGUUGUGUCCAUGGGAGGAGGUGAGUUCAGAGUCCUCCUAUGCCACCUUCUUCCCAGCAAUCCAAAAUAAUUCAGUUUUUUUAUAUAUUGACUUUUAAAUGUCUACUGGAUAUUCAAGUGGAGAUAUAAGGUAGAGAGUUAUGUAUCAAAGACUGAGGCUCAGAUGGAGGUGUGGGCAAGAUAAACUGAUUUGGUAUUCACCAAGAUAGGUACAUAUUGAAGUUUUGAGACUAUGAUGUUACCCAGAUACCAGCUUUGUACCACUAAUUUCUAUAGGAGUCAUAUUAUUUUU
Molecule: long non-coding RNA, 1931 nt
Organism: Equus caballus (horse)
Lineage: Eukaryota; Metazoa; Chordata; Mammalia; Perissodactyla; Equidae
Source: Ensembl